Molecule: ribosomal RNA, 293 nt
Filed under: uncultured bacterium
Lineage: Bacteria
Description: partial 16S ribosomal RNA
Rfam family: Bacterial small subunit ribosomal RNA
Source: RNAcentral
UCCUACGGGAGGCAGCAGUGGGGAAUAUUGGGCAAUGGGCGCAAGCCUGACCCAGAGACGCCGCGUGAGGGAAGACGGUCUUCGGAUUGUAAACCUCUGUCUUUGGGGAAGAAAAUGACGGUACCCAAAGAGGAAGCUCCGGCUAACUACGUGCCAGCAGCCGCGGUAAUACGGAGGGAGCGAGCGUUGUCCGGAAUUACUGGGUGUAAAGGGAGCGUAGGCGGGCGAGAAAGUUGAAUGUUAAAUCUACCGGCUUAACUGGUAGCUGCGUUCACAACUUCUUGUCUUGAGUG